GUGGGGAAUUUUGGACAAUGGGCGCAAGCCUGAUCCAGCAAUGCCGCGUGCAGGAAGAAGGCCUUCGGGUUGUAAACUGCUUUUGUACGGAACGAAACGGUCCGGGUUAAUACCCUGGGCUAAUGACGGUACCGUAAGAAUAAGCACCGGCUAACUACGUGCCAGCAGCCGCGGUAAUACGUAGGGUGCAAGCGUUAAUCGGAAUUACUGGGCGUAAAGCGUGCGCAGGCGGUGCUGUAAGACAGGCGUGAAAUCCCCGGGCUCAACCUGGGAAUUGCGCUUGUGACUGCAGUGCUGGAGUAAGGCAGAGGGGGAUGGAAUUCCGCGUGUAGCAGUGAAAUGCGUAGAUAUGCGGAGGAACACCGAUGGCGAAGGCAGUCCCCUGGGCCUGUACUGACGCUCAUGCACGAAAGCGUGGGGAGCAAACAGGAUUAGAAACCCCGGUAGUCC
This 450-nucleotide ribosomal RNA is filed under the name uncultured bacterium. RNAcentral's name for it is "partial 16S ribosomal RNA". It matches the Rfam family "Bacterial small subunit ribosomal RNA", at positions 354 to 796 of the family's 1533-position model. The record is from RNAcentral.